GCUUGAAAAGUGCCUACCCCUGGCCUGGGAUGCUUCCUCCUGGGAUGCUCCCACUUGGAACCCAACUAUUGUGCUGCAGAAGUUUAACUUAACUGUGUAAGGAGGCCAAGAGGAGGCCCUGGCUGCCAGCCAGCAUCAACUUCCAGUGACGUGAGUGUGCCAUUCUGGAACUGGAUCCUGCAGCCUCGGUGGAGCAGCCUCAGCUGAUGCCAUGUGGAACAGAGAUGAACUGCCGCUGCCGAGCUCUGCCCACGUUGCAGAAUCAUGAGCAAAUAUGUUGUGGAUUGGCUGUAACUCUGCUCUGGGAUCCAGGCUGAAGGAGCAGGCUCUAUCUGGAACAUUACUAGUCUCCAGGCAGAAGAAAAAGAGACAAUGGAAUGGAUGAUUGAAUGGAUGAAUGAACUCCACAGGAAGAUGAGGAAAGCCUUUAUGGAUGGAGUGAGCUUGCAGCAGAGUCUCAAAGGGUGAGUAGAGUUUUCCAGGUAGGGAAGUGUGUGGGUGAGUAGUCCAGAUCGAGUCAAAGGUAUGGGAGCAAGGAACGGCCUGGUGCAUUCCAGAAGUGUUGAUAAUGUCACUGGCUGACUCGGAGGGUGUGAAGGGGAGGAGAAGGAGGGAAGGCUAGAGAGGGAAGGUAGAAAGGAAGUGGAGGCGAAAAAAGAUGCUGAAGGGCCUCCUGUACCUCCAGGAAGAGUUUGAAUGUUAUCAUUUGGGCAAUGGGAAGCUAUUCCUGGGUCUUCACAAGGGAAUCAGUUGGUGAGAACUGCUGUUUAGAAAGACAGCCCUGGCAGCAACUCAAGCGCUGGGAGAGGACAGAACCACCAGGGAAGAGGGUAUGGGGAAGAAGAGCAGCAGGCUGAGGACAGGCCCAGGACUGAAGAAUCAGGCACAGGAAGAAGAGUCCAUGGGGCAGGCUGUGAAAUGGACAAAGGAAAACCAGAGGUGCUUCCCAAGCAGGGGGCCUGGCCACCAGAGUCCCAAGCUACCAAGAUGUCAAGUAAAGAAGAACUGAAAGCCAACUGCUGGAUGCAGCAGUGAGUGGGGGUCACAGUGGCCUUUGCCAGAACUGUUCCAGUGGAGGAGUAGAGGAAGAGAGAAAACCACAGGAGCAGGCAUCGCAAGCUCAUGCUCCACCCACACGUCCCCUUUCUCCUUUAGUCCUGUGACCCAUGUGCUUGCUCUCUUUCUCUCUCAAAGGAGAUCCAAAUUUAAAAAUAUGGAGCCAAGGGAAUCAGUUCCUUUGCGAACACACUGAACGUUAGUUUUCUUCUUCUCUUUUGCAAAAACUUCUUAUUUCACAAAAUACUCAAACAAAUAGACAAAGUACAGUGAAGUCCAGGUAGAUAUCAUCCACCUUCAGCAAUGAUCAAUCCAUGGCCAAUCUUUCAUCUCAACACUCGUAUCCUCAUUCUUGUGGAGCAAAUGCCAGACAUUCUUUCAUCCAUCAGUAUGUCAAUAUGUAUCUCUGAAAUAGAAGGACUUUUUAUAAAACAUAAUCAUAAUAUAAUUAAUAUUCAUUCCCCAAUUGU
This 1526-nucleotide long non-coding RNA is filed under the name Homo sapiens (human). RNAcentral's name for it is "HSALNT0382886". Lineage: Eukaryota; Metazoa; Chordata; Mammalia; Primates; Hominidae. The record is from RNAcentral.